GUAGGUGAACCUGCGGAAGGAUCAUUAAAGAAUCGCCCCGUUUUUUGAAAUGGGUUCUAUUCCCAAACCGUGUAUACAUAUCUUUGUUGCUUUGGCAGGCCGCCUCUCGAGGCGUCGGCUUCGGCUGACUGCGCUUGCCAGAGGCCCAAAACUCUGUGUUUAGUGAUGUCUGAGUACUAUAAAAUAUUUAAAACUUUCAACAACGGAUCUCUUGGUUCUGGCAUCGAUGAAGAACGCAGCAUCUGACUGA
Molecule: unclassified non-coding RNA, 250 nt
Filed under: plant metagenome
Description: partial contains small subunit ribosomal RNA, internal transcribed spacer 1, and 5.8S ribosomal RNA
Source: RNAcentral